UCCACAUGUCUAUAUUUGCAG
RNAcentral lists this non-coding RNA (21 nucleotides) under Arabidopsis thaliana (thale cress). Lineage: Eukaryota; Viridiplantae; Streptophyta; Magnoliopsida; Brassicales; Brassicaceae. The record is from RNAcentral.